This 245-nucleotide ribosomal RNA is filed under the name uncultured Eubacteriales bacterium. RNAcentral describes it as "uncultured Clostridiales bacterium partial 16S ribosomal RNA". It matches the Rfam family "Bacterial small subunit ribosomal RNA", at positions 524 to 768 of the family's 1533-position model. Lineage: Bacteria; Bacillati; Bacillota; Clostridia; Eubacteriales. The record is from RNAcentral.
UACGUAGGGAGCAAGCGUUGUCCGGAAUCACUGGGCGUAAAGGGCGCGUAGGCGGUCUAUUAAGUUGCAUGUGAAAUACCAGGGCUCAACCUUGGGGUGUCAUGCAAAACUGGUGGACUUGAGUGCAGUAGAGGGAAGCGGAAUUCCUGGUGUAGCGGUGAAAUGCGUAGAGAUCAGGAGGAACACCGGUGGCGAAGGCGGCUUUCUGGGCUGUAACUGACGCUGAGGCGCGAAAGCGUGGGGAG